AGAGCGAACGCUGGCGGCAGGCUUAACACAUGCAAGUCGAGCGGGCGUAGCAAUACGUCAGCGGCAGACGGGUGAGUAACGCGUGGGAACGUACCUUUUGGUUCGGAACAACCCAGGGAAACUUGGGCUAAUACCGGAUAAGCCCUUACGGGGAAAGAUUUAUCGCCGAAAGAUCGGCCCGCGUCUGAUUAGCUAGUUGGUGAGGUAAUGGCUCACCAAGGCAACGAUCAGUAGCUGGUCUGAGAGGAUGAUCAGCCACAUUGGGACUGAGACACGGCCCAAACUCCUACGGGAGGCAGCAGUGGGGAAUAUUGGACAAUGGGCGCAAGCCUGAUCCAGCCAUGCCGCGUGAGUGAUGAAGGCCCUAGGGUUGUAAAGCUCUUUUGUGCGGGAAGAUAAUGACGGUACCGCAAGAAUAAGCCCCGGCUAACUUCGCGCCAGCAGCCGC
RNAcentral lists this ribosomal RNA (448 nucleotides) under uncultured bacterium. RNAcentral's name for it is "SSU rRNA". It matches the Rfam family "Bacterial small subunit ribosomal RNA", at positions 26 to 518 of the family's 1533-position model. The record is from RNAcentral.